CCAAGUGACACACACCUGUUUUCCCAGCUACUCAGGAUGCUGAGGCAGGAGUAACUCUUGAACCCAGGAGUUCUGGGUUGUAUGUGCUAUGUUGAUCAAGUGUCUACACUAAGAUUGGCAUCAACAUAUUAUCUUCCAGGGAGCAGAGGACCACUAGGCUGCCUAAGGAGUGAUGAAUCAGCCCAACUCAAAAAUUGAGCAGGAUAAAACUCCUCUGCUCAUCAGUAGUGGGAUAAGCCCUUGGAAUAGUCACUCCACUCCAAUCUGGGCAAUGUAGUGAGGCUCUAUUUCU
RNAcentral lists this signal recognition particle RNA (292 nucleotides) under Cebus imitator (Panamanian white-faced capuchin). RNAcentral's name for it is "Metazoan signal recognition particle RNA (ENSCCAG00000010406.1)". It matches the Rfam family "Metazoan signal recognition particle RNA". From Rfam's summary of the family: The signal recognition particle (SRP) is a universally conserved ribonucleoprotein. It is involved in the co-translational targeting of proteins to membranes. Lineage: Eukaryota; Metazoa; Chordata; Mammalia; Primates; Cebidae. The record is from RNAcentral.